Molecule: ribosomal RNA, 922 nt
Filed under: uncultured bacterium
Lineage: Bacteria
Also listed under: 1 other name
Description: bacterial SSU rRNA
Rfam family: Bacterial small subunit ribosomal RNA
Source: RNAcentral
GGAUCCAGACUUUGAUUAUGGCUCAGGAUGAACGCUAGCUACAGGCUUAACACAUGCAAGUCGAGGGGCAGCAUGGUCUUAGCUUGCUAAGGCCGAUGGCGACCGGCGCACGGGUGAGUAACACGUAUCCAACCUGCCGUCUACUCUUGGGCAGCCUUCUGAAAGGAAGAUUAAUACAAGAUGGCAUCAUGAGUCCACAUGUUCACAUGAUUAAAGGUAUUCCGGUAGACGAUGGGGAUGCGUUCCAUUAGAUAGUAGGCGGGGUAACGGCCCACCUAGUCUUCGAUGGAUAGGGGUUCUGAGAGGAAGGUCCCCCACAUUGGAACUGAGACACGGUCCAAACUCCUACGGGAGGCAGCAGUGAGGAAUAUUGGUCAAUGGGCGAGAGCCUGAACCAGCCAAGUAGCGUGAAGGAUGACUGCCCUAUGGGUUGUAAACUUCUUUUAUAAAGGAAUAAAGUCGGGUAUGCAUACCCGUUUGCAUGUACUUUAUGAAUAAGGAUCGGCUAACUCCGUGCCAGCAGCCGCGGUAAUACGGAGGAUCCGAGCGUUAUCCGGAUUUAUUGGGUUUAAAGGGAGCGUAGAUGGAUGUUUAAGUCAGUUGUGAAAGUUUGCGGCUCAACCGUAAAAUUGCAGUUGAUACUGGAUAUCUUGAGUGCAGUUGAGGCAGGCGGAAUUCGUGGUGUAGCGGUGAAAUGCUUAGAUAUCACGAAGAACUCCGAUUGCGAAGGCAGCCUGCUAAGCUGCAACUGACAUUGAGGCUCGAAAGUGUGGGUAUCAAACAGGAUUAGAUACCCUGGUAGUCCACACGGUAAACGAUGAAUACUCGCUGUUUGCGAUAUACAGCAAGCGGCCAAGCGAAAGCGUUAAGUAUUCCACCUGGGGAGUACGCCGGCAACGGUGCAACUCAAAUGAAUUGACGG